Molecule: long non-coding RNA, 428 nt
Organism: Heterocephalus glaber (naked mole-rat)
Lineage: Eukaryota; Metazoa; Chordata; Mammalia; Rodentia; Bathyergidae
Source: Ensembl
CUGAACUGGGUGGUUUCCAAAGUCCUCACGGCCCCGGUCCCAAGGACCAUGCAGGCGGCUGUGUGUUCGGAUCCUGCACCGCCAGAUCCGCUGUGGGCCACUCAUGGGAACUGAGCCGAGCCCACGCACUUCCUCUCUCCCUGGGGCUCCAGUCCUCGUCCAGCUGGCUCAUGGAAAGCCCUUCGUGGGGUUGGCACCUGAGCCGGUUAAUCUUCACUGUCACCUGGACUUGGUGAAGAGCAAGAGGAACUAUGGAUCAGGAGCCACAGUGGGUCGAUCUACUUAAGCCCCCGUCUGAGUGUGCUGUUAGGGUGGGGACCCUGUUGGAGGCGGGUCCUGGGCCAAGCCUUGGGGGGUGCGUGUCUCACUGAGCACUGUCCCCCUCUGCUUCCCACCACCAUGAAAUGAGCAGCUUUGGUCCACCAUGG